CUGAACCCAAUGGAUGUCUCUGUGUGGGGUGGUGGGGGGACAACGCAAUGGUCUGACCCCAAAAUCAUUGGGGUUGGGGGGGUGGGGGGCCAAAAAGUGACCCCAUGUUGGGUGCAGAUGAGGGUUGGGGGCACCACGAUGCGUUUGCAGGGGGGGCUGACCCGGCUGACCCCUAUGGAUGUCUCUAUGUGGGGUGGUGGGGGGAUACCACGAUGGGUCUGACCCCAAAAUCAGUGGGGUUGGGGUUGGAGGGGGUCCAGAAGACCCCAAAGGUGGGGAUAUGUGGGUUGGGAGCCAGAGAGGAUGAAGAGGAUGAAGUCGACCCCAAAAGACGUCUCCAUGUUGAUUAUUGGGGUUGGGGGGACACUGCGAGGGGUCUGACCCCAAAAUCAGUGGGGUUGGGGUUGGGGAGGGGGCCGGAAGACCCCAAAGGUGGGGAUGUGUGGGUUGGGAGCCAGAGAGGACACCACGAUGAGUCCGACCCCAAAAGACCCCAAAAGUUCCCCCCAGUUUUGCCUUUUUUCCUCUCCCAUUUCCUCCCUUUUUCCUCUCCCAUUUCCUCCCUUUUUCCUCUCCCAUUUCCUCCCUUUUUCCUCUCCCAUUUCCUCCCUUUUCCCCUUCCAUUUCUCCCUUUCCCCCCCCCAAUUUUGCCUUUUUCCUCUCCCACUUCCUCCCUUUUUCCCCUCCCAUUUCUUCCUUUCCCCCCCCCCAAUUUUGCCUUUUUCCUCUCCCAUUUCCCCCCUUUUCCCCCUUCCAUUUCUUCCUUU
Molecule: long non-coding RNA, 767 nt
Filed under: Gallus gallus (chicken)
Lineage: Eukaryota; Metazoa; Chordata; Aves; Galliformes; Phasianidae
Description: lncRNA (ENSGALG00010000894.1)
Source: RNAcentral